GAUGAAGAACGUAGCGAAAUGCGAUAAGUAAUGUGAAUUGCAGAAUUCAGUGAAUCAUCGAAUCUUUGAACGCACAUUGCGCCCGCCAGUAUUCUGGCGGGCAUGCCUGUUCGAGCGUCAUUUCAACCAUCAAGCCCCCGGGCCUGUGUUGGGGACCUGCGGCUGCCCGCAGGCCCCGAAAACCAGUGGCGGGCUCGCUGUCACCCCGAGCGUAGUAGCAACACCUCGCCCAGGGAGUGCCGCGGGCACCGGCCGUAAAACCUCCUCUCGCCCCCCCCCCGCGGGAGGGAACACCCCAAAGGUUGACCUCGGAUCAGGUAGGAAGACCCGCUGAACUUAAGCAUAUCAAUAAGCGGAGG
This 359-nucleotide unclassified non-coding RNA is filed under the name soil metagenome. RNAcentral describes it as "partial contains 5.8S ribosomal RNA, internal transcribed spacer 2, and large subunit ribosomal RNA". The stretch from base 1 to 120 matches the Rfam family "5.8S ribosomal RNA", at positions 35 to 154 of the family's 154-position model. The record is from RNAcentral.